RNAcentral lists this long non-coding RNA (1675 nucleotides) under Xyrichtys novacula (pearly razorfish). Lineage: Eukaryota; Metazoa; Chordata; Actinopteri; Labriformes; Labridae. The record is from RNAcentral.
AAGAGAAUUACACUUCCGGUUGUGCUUUUCACAGUAAGGUAUUCACUACGGAGCAACACGUGCAUAACAGCAGUUUUCAGCAGUAUUACUGUAACGAAGCAACUCUGUAUUCAUAAACUGUUAUUACUUAAUUUAGCAUCGCAAAAAGUGUUCUAACGUCCACUCGCAACACUAAGCCUGUUUUAUUUUGAAUAGAAAUCGGUCGAUAUCCGGUAUCAGCCUGCCUUCCUCCGAGUGGCUUGACGCAGCUCUAACAGAGCAGUGACGUAGCGUCCCAUCGCAGCGCGGCUCGUGCUGAUGCUGCAGUUGCUAGGGCGCGUGGAGCAGACGGCGGAGAGGAGAAGUGAGGUAAACAAGCGAAAAAGAGGAAAUGUCGCCCUCUUGUGUCGAAGUUAGUCACUUAAUGUUUUCCUUCAAGACUUAAAGGUACUUAAAAAAGCAAAAAGUACCAAAGUUUUGUCUAUUUCGUACGUUUUAAUUGAUUUAAAACAGAGAAUUCAAGCGGCUCGUCAUUCAACUGUCGCCCUUCGCCUCGACGGCCAUUUUCUCUAAGCUCUCAAAGUUUAAAAACGGCUUUUCUUUCUAGGAAAAAAUGUAUUAAAUGCUGAAUAAGUUCCUUUUAAGUCUUUAUAAUGCCCUUCUGAAAGCUUUAUUGUAGUUUUACACGGUUAACAGUUAUUAAAAAUGCUUUUGUACAAACCCUCUGCUCCAGUUUCCCUAUAAAUGCUUAAUUAAUUUCAGCUUCUGUCUCAUUUAUGCCUGCCCAGCUCUCUGAAAGCCUCCUCCACUGUUACCACUCGACAAAGUCUCAUUUCUUUGCUUAAAAUGAGAAAUUAAAAAAUAAGGCCUUAUUACUUGGAACUCAAAUCUGACCCCCCAAAUAUAGAAAGAAAAAAAAAAGGAAACUGGAGCAGCCUACCUCUUUUCUUGGGAUUACAAUGUAAAAUAUGAGAGAGCAUUAAAGCACCUCUUCUAUAAGAACCUGAGCAACACAUAGAAGAGGCAUGUAGCUUCUGAAGGGAAUUUUUUUACAGGACUAGUCCUCCAUUUUGAAAAUAUAAAAUGCUAUUAUCUCCCAAAUUGCUCUCUCAAAAGAUAAAACUGUCUUUUUCUUCUUCUUCUUCUUUGCAGAUCCAACAAACAUGUGCUCAGAAGAGGCAGAGCCAGGACAAGUUCAACCAUAGAUUGUAUAUACUAUGGACAACUUGGUUCAGCCUCCCGUCUGUAUACAGAUUUGAAGCCAAAAAGCUCUCGGUAUUUCCAGGAUUUUUCUUCAUUUCCUGAAACCAGUGCUGCGCAGUAGCGUUGUGCGCAUUCAGCGGGAGAGUCGCCAAGAGUCGCUGUGAUGACGCUCGGCUCAAACAGCGGAUCUCCCGGGUGAGCUACGCAUUUCCUGAACGACUUGAGCACAAACCAGUCUUACAGUAACUACAUGUCAACAUCGCAACCAGGAGGGAGAAAAAUGUAUGUUCUGUGUAAUAAAUUUCUAAAGUUUGUCCACAGCCCCCAUAAGCUUUGCUGGCGGAGGCGGGAUUUAUGACCUAUACUGCAGCCCGUCAACAGAGGGUGCUGUUCUCGGAGUGGCUUCACCCAGCGAGGAGGCAGACUCUGUCCAUUCUAUAUACAGUCUAUGGGUGCUACCUUCACUAUUCAAACUCUCCUGGGCCAAAACUCU